ACAUGUUUUGCUGCACAGGGCUAACCUGUUCCUGAUCUAACUUUGUUCACCUUUUCAGGUGAACUAAUUUAGAUCAGGCCAGCCAUUUUUUGCCUAAUUUAACAUCCCCAAAUAUCUGCACAGAUUAACACCUAAAUCAACAGGUACCCCAAGGUCCCUUGCAACCAGCCCAACAAUUCUGUGUGGCAAUGAGGGAGGUGAAGACAGAAGCUCUUUUGCUGAAGAUAACCCCAUCCUUGAAACUGGGGAUGCCUGUAGAAAGCCUCACUCAGCAUUCCCCAGCAACUAGAUAAAGACUUUUCUUCUCCUCUCUGACUGUAACCCGGGGGACCUGUGGAAUCAGUGAACCACCAACCAGGUUCUAAUAAUUAGGUUCAUAUGUAAAAUAAUCACUAACUACAACAGGGUCACCGGUGCUUUAUACAACACAAAGGUUGGCAGUUAAACUUUGCAUGACAGGCUUUACAAGUUAGAGGGAAGUUAAGCAAAAGGGAGUCUGAGCAAACACAAGCAGGCUUAGGUGACAAGAACAGCAGGUAUUGAAGUCAAGCAGGUGGGAAGUAACUUGACAGUAGAAGAGGUAUUAGGAAACAGCCUGCAAGGACAAUAGCAGUGUUAAAAAUAAAUGAGCAAGCUGUGAUCAGGGAAAUAAAGACAAGCUCACUUUGCUCUGUUUUACUGUUGGAGAAAGUAAACAAAUUAGAAAAACAAGCCACAGAUCACUUUAAUUUACAUGCUGAGUCAUGAAACCCUGCCUCCUUCACCUUCUCCUUGUCAACUAAUAACUGUGACUCUUUCAUAAGGGUAAGAACAAUCAAUAGGAAAGAGCACUAUAAGGCUUAUCAAAUUAAAUGCAGAACGGCUGCCUGUAAUUCCCAGAAGCUUGCCUUCUGUGGUUUUCUCCUAGCUAGUCUUAGGGAAAAAAAAGUGUCUUCUAUAGUUUUGUGGUUAUUUUUGUAAUUUUUUUUGAGAUGUGAGACAAUGAAAUAUUAAUUAGUCUUCAGGACCAUAAAUUGUAAUACAGUAGUAAAUGGCAAAUUUAUUAAAUGUUCCUCUUUCAAAUGAUCUAGUUCUAUUGUAAAAGUAAUUGUUGCACCCAAUAAAGAUUUAAUUUUCCAGUAAAGAUCCAUAAAAGAGAUGUGUGUUUCUGAUGAGUUGGGUAACAUGGUCUUUCAUAUUAGCCUGUAAUUCAUUGUGUCAAUCUAGGAAACAGAAUAAAGGCCAGUGGACUUUAGUAUUGUUGUAACAUUUUAGCCAA
Gavialis gangeticus (Gharial) is the source of this 1258-nucleotide long non-coding RNA. RefSeq lists it as uncharacterized. Lineage: Eukaryota; Metazoa; Chordata; Crocodylia; Gavialidae. The record is from RefSeq and is a predicted model, not a curated record. The transcript is spliced from 3 exons.